Long non-coding RNA from Lolium perenne, 1514 nucleotides. RefSeq lists it as uncharacterized. NCBI's taxonomy places the organism in Eukaryota, Viridiplantae, Streptophyta, Magnoliopsida, Poales, Poaceae. The record is from RefSeq and is a predicted model, not a curated record.
UCGAAAACUGAAGCGCCAACCGCCUCAUAUCCGCGCCCUGGCGAAGCGAUUUUUUUUCGUUUAAUUUCCCCGUGCCCCAAACUCAUCCCUUCGCCAAACCCUAACUCAUCUCUUCCCCCCCCCCACCCCCUCCGGCCGCCGCCACGGUCCUCUCUCCAUCGAUCAGCCCUCCCAUAGACCGCGACACCCCUAUCCACCUGUCUCCCUCUGGAGGCGUCUGGCAGGACCGAGGAGUAGCUCGUUUCUUUCCUUUCCCUCCCAAGGCGGCGCAGCUGCAAGUAUAGGACGAGUCGCCGCGGCCGGCCUCUGCGCUGGUCUCGCUGACCGUGGAUCUGGCCGCUUGGGUCUCGGAUUCCCGCCCUGCGUUAGCGGCGGCGCUCCAGGGUCGGCAGCCGGGUCUCCAGCGCCCCGCGUUCUUGGCAUCGGAAGAUCCACCAGAUUAAGGGUGCGACCGUCGGAGCAUGAUUGCGUCAGGGCGCAGGCGCGUGUCCCGUUUCCGGCCGGACGGAGCUGGUAACUUCUAUUUGCUGCUGCAACUUGCCCAUUUUGACAAGUAUGAAGACCCAUUGGUUCUUUCUAUCAGUAAAUUUUCGCCCAAGGAAGUACAUGAUGUCCCUGUCUUCAAAUUGUGCGCAUGCUUUUUAGCAUAUUUUUCUUGUUUGUUCUUAACUAAGGCAUGAAUUUUCUGUUUUGUAGCUUUGGGUUAUUUAUGCAUUCUGCUAUACCCCUGUCUUAAGGGGCAAACUUGCCUGCUUCCGUCAAGUCUAUCAAAUCAAAAUAUUUGUUUGCCAAAACUGUUUUUUUUAUAUUGCCAACUUGAUCCUUUUCUAUAAAGAAACAUCACGUCAAUUACUAUGUCAUUUUCACUUUACAUUAUCUCUGGUUUUAACCUCAUGCUUAUAAUCGGAAACUUUAUGUCAUGGAUUAAUCUGUCUCAAGUACCUUACCAGACAUGUACCUAGCAACCAUUAGUCACCAUUAACAUAACUAAUCGACCUCCAUAUGCACAUUCUGUAAACUAGUUCUACUAUUGCUGUUAAGUUGUUUACACAGGCAUGAUCCUAGCUUUUAAGUUCAUCUGAAUAACAAUUCAUACGUUUAUACAAGCUUCAUGAUUUCUGCUUCUGUUUGUAAUUGUGGUGUUGAAUUGUUGGCAGAUAUUGCAUUCACAUAAGUGCUAUUUCCAGGAAAUCAUCUCUUUUACAAGAGCUAUAGGCUGAAGAAGUUAAGAGGAAGCGUGAAGAAGUGCCAGGGUAUCAGAAGGGUAGCUGGCGUUUACACUUCCUGAGCGUUCUAGUUGCAGAGCGUAUUGUGUUAUGCAAUAUUAUAUGGUUAACUCGGUGACGCGUGAAGAAUUUCAAGGGUUUCAAUGAUUUGAUGGUUAACUGGUCUGGUUGAGAUGUGAACUAGAGUGGAAUUUCCUGUGUUUUCUAUUUGUCGUGACUAAGAUAUUGUAAUUGUAAUACUAAAUUAAAUUUGGCUGCUAUUUGAUGAUUUUAACGUAUUUUCCUCCA